Molecule: unclassified non-coding RNA, 430 nt
Filed under: soil metagenome
Description: partial contains 5.8S ribosomal RNA, internal transcribed spacer 2, and large subunit ribosomal RNA
Rfam family: 5.8S ribosomal RNA (bases 1-120)
Source: RNAcentral
GAUGAAGAACGCAGCGAAAUGCGAUACGUAAUGUGAAUUGCAGAAUUCAGUGAAUCAUCGAAUCUUUGAACGCAUAUUGCGCUCUCUGGUAUUCCGGAGAGCAUGCUUGUUUGAGUAUCAGUAAACACCUCAACUCCCUUUUCUUUUUUGAAAUUGGAGCUGGACUUGAGUGAUCCCAACGCUUUCUUCCAAGAAAGUGGCGGGUUGCUUGAAAUGCAGGUGCAGCUGAACUUUUCUCUGAGCUAUAAGCCUAUCUAUUUAGUCUGCCUAAAAAACACAUUAUUACCUUUGCUGCAGCUAACAUAAAGGAGACUAGUUCUUGUGCUGACUGAUGCAGGAUUCACAGAGACAGCUUCGGCUGACUUUGUAAACUCGAUCUCAGAUCAAGUAAGACUACCCGCUGAACUUAAGCAUAUCAAUAAGCGGAGGA